UCUUUGGAGAGUUUGAUCCUGGCUCAGGACGAACGCUGGCGGCGUGCCUAAUACAUGCAAGUCGAGCGGACCGGGCGGGAGCUUGCUUCCGCUUGGUUAGCGGCGGACGGGUGAGUAACAC
This 121-nucleotide ribosomal RNA is filed under the name Parageobacillus thermoglucosidasius. Its description in RNAcentral is "partial 16S ribosomal RNA". It matches the Rfam family "Bacterial small subunit ribosomal RNA", at positions 1 to 116 of the family's 1533-position model. Lineage: Bacteria; Bacillati; Bacillota; Bacilli; Caryophanales; Anoxybacillaceae. The record is from RNAcentral.